RNAcentral lists this ribosomal RNA (487 nucleotides) under uncultured bacterium. Its description in RNAcentral is "partial 16S ribosomal RNA". It matches the Rfam family "Bacterial small subunit ribosomal RNA", at positions 28 to 507 of the family's 1533-position model. The record is from RNAcentral.
GAUGAACGCUGGCGGUAGGCUUAACACAUGCAAGUCGAGGGGCAGCACAAGGUGGCUUGCUCUCUGGGUGGCGACCGGCGCACGGGUGCGUCACGCGUAUGCAACUUGCCCUAUACAGGAGGAUAACCCGUCGAAAGACGGACUAAUACUGCGUAUGCUCACAACUUGGCAUCAAGUGGUGAGGAAAGAAAUUCGGUAUAGGAUAGGCAUGCGUCCCAUUAGCUUGUUGGUGAGGUAACGGCUCACCAAGGCAACGAUGGGUAGGGGAACCGAGCUGUUGAUCCCCCACACUGGUACUGAGACACGGACCCGACUCCGACGGGAGGCAGCAGAGUGGAAUAUUGGGCGAUGGGCGCGAGCCGGAACCAGCCAAGUCGCGUGAAGGAGGACUGUCUUAUGGAUUGUAAACUUCUUUUAUACGGGAAUAACAAGAGUCACGGGUGACUCCCUGCAUGUACCGUAUGAAUAAGCAUCGGCUAACUCCGUG